Molecule: small nuclear RNA, 101 nt
Organism: Equus asinus (donkey)
Lineage: Eukaryota; Metazoa; Chordata; Mammalia; Perissodactyla; Equidae
Source: Ensembl
GUGCUUGUUUAAUAGCAUCUAUAUUAAAAUAAGAACCAUACAGAGAUUAGUAGGGCCCCUAAGCAAGGAUAAUACAAAUUCAUGAAGUUAUCUAUAUUUUU